GGGUUGUGAGGUUAAGCGACUAAGCGUACACGGUGGAUGCCCUGGCAGUCAGAGGCGAUGAAGGACGUGCUAAUCUGCGAAAAGCGCCGGCGAGGUGAUAUGAACCUUUGACCCGGCGAUGUCCGAAUGGGGAAACCCAGUGCAAUUCGUUGCACUAUCGUUAACUGAAUACAUAGGUUAACGAGGCGAACCGGGGGAACUGAAACAUCUAAGUACCCCGAGGAAAAGAAAUCAACCGAGAUUCCCCCAGUAGCGGCGAGCGAACGGGGAGCAGCCCAGAGUCUAAAUCAGCUUGUGUGUUAGUGGAAGCGUCUGGAAAGUCGCACGGUACAGGGUGACAGUCCCGUACACGAAAGCACACAGGCUGUGAACUCGAAGAGUAGGGCGGGACACGUGGUAUCCUGUCUGAAUAUGGGGGGACCAUCCUCCAAGGCUAAAUACUCCUGACUGACCGAUAGUGAACCAGUACCGUGAGGGAAAGGCGAAAAGAACCCCGGCGAGGGGAGUGAAACAGAACCUGAAACCGUGUACGUACAAGCAGUGGGAGCACCUUCGUGGUGUGACUGCGUACCUUUUGUAUAAUGGGUCAGCGACUUAUAUUCUGUAGCAAGGUUAACCGUAUAGGGGAGCCGAAGGGAAACCGAGUCUUAACUGGGCGUUAAGUUGCAGGGUAUAGACCCGAAACCCGGUGAUCUAGCCAUGGGCAGGUUGAAGGUUGGGUAACACUAACUGGAGGACCGAACCGACUAAUGUUGAAAAAUUAGCGGAUGACUUGUGGCUGGGGGUGAAAGGCCAAUCAAACCGGGAGAUAGCUGGUUCUCCCCGAAAGCUAUUUAGGUAGCGCCUCGUGAACUCAUCUUCGGGGGUAGAGCACUGUUUCGGCUAGGGGGCCAUCCCGGCUUACCAACCCGAUGCAAACUACGAAUACCGAAGAAUGUUAUCACGGGAGACACACGGCGGGUGCUAACGUCCGUCGUGAAGAGGGAAACAACCCAGACCGCCAGCUAAGGUCCCAAAGUCAUGGUUAAGUGGGAAACGAUGUGGGAAGGCACAGACAGCCAGGAUGUUGGCUUAGAAGCAGCCAUCAUUUAAAGAAAGCGUAAUAGCUCACUGGUCGAGUCGGCCUGCGCGGAAGAUGUAACGGGGCUAAACCAUGCACCGAAGCUGCGGCAGCGACACUAUGUGUUGUUGGGUAGGGGAGCGUUCUGUAAGCCGUUGAAGGUGUGCUGUGAGGCAUGCUGGAGGUAUCAGAAGUGCGAAUGCUGACAUAAGUAACGAUAAAGCGGGUGAAAAGCCCGCUCGCCGGAAGACCAAGGGUUCCUGUCCAACGUUAAUCGGGGCAGGGUGAGUCGACCCCUAAGGCGAGGCCGAAAGGCGUAGUCGAUGGGAAACAGGUUAAUAUUCCUGUACUUGGUGUUACUGCGAAGGGGGGACGGAGAAGGCUAUGUUAGCCGGGCGACGGUUGUCCCGGUUUAAGCAUGUAGGCGGAACGAUUAGGUAAAUCCGGUCGUUUAUUAACGCUGAGGUGUGAUGACGAGGCACUACGGUGCUGAAGUAACAAAUGCCCUGCUUCCAGGAAAAGCCUCUAAGCAUCAGGUAACAUCAAAUCGUACCCCAAACCGACACAGGUGGUCAGGUAGAGAAUACCAAGGCGCUUGAGAGAACUCGGGUGAAGGAACUAGGCAAAAUGGUGCCGUAACUUCGGGAGAAGGCACGCUGAUAUGUAGGUGAAGCCCCUGCGGGUGGAGCUGAAAUCAGUCGAAGAUACCAGCUGGCUGCAACUGUUUAUUAAAAACACAGCACUGUGCAAACACGAAAGUGGACGUAUACGGUGUGACGCCUGCCCGGUGCCGGAAGGUUAAUUGAUGGGGUUAGCGGUAACGCGAAGCUCUUGAUCGAAGCCCCGGUAAACGGCGGCCGUAACUAUAACGGUCCUAAGGUAGCGAAAUUCCUUGUCGGGUAAGUUCCGACCUGCACGAAUGGCGUAAUGAUGGCCAGGCUGUCUCCACCCGAGACUCAGUGAAAUUGAACUCGCUGUGAAGAUGCAGUGUACCCGCGGCAAGACGGAAAGACCCCGUGAACCUUUACUAUAGCUUGACACUGAACACUGGUCCUUGAUGUGUAGGAUAGGUGGGAGGCUUUGAAGUGUGGACGCCAGUCUGCAUGGAGCCGUCCUUGAAAUACCACCCUUUAAUGGCUGGUGUUCUAACGUAGACCCGUAAUCCGGGUUGCGGACAGUGUCUGGUGGGUAGUUUGACUGGGGCGGUCUCCUCCCAAAGAGUAACGGAGGAGCACGAAGGUUAGCUAAUCCUGGUCGGACAUCAGGAGGUUAGUGCAAUGGCAUAAGCUAGCUUGACUGCGAGAGUGACGGCUCGAGCAGGUGCGAAAGCAGGUCAUAGUGAUCCGGUGGUUCUGAAUGGAAGGGCCAUCGCUCAACGGAUAAAAGGUACUCCGGGGAUAACAGGCUGAUACCGCCCAAGAGUUCAUAUCGACGGCGGUGUUUGGCACCUCGAUGUCGGCUCAUCACAUCCUGGGGCUGAAGUAGGUCCCAAGGGUAUGGCUGUUCGCCAUUUAAAGUGGUACGCGAGCUGGGUUUAGAACGUCGUGAGACAGUUCGGUCCCUAUCUGCCGUGGGCGCUGGAGAAUUGAGGGGGGCUGCUCCUAGUACGAGAGGACCGGAGUGGACGCAUCACUGGUGUUCGGGUUGUCAUGCCAAUGGCACUGCCCGGUAGCUAAAUGCGGAAAAGAUAAGUGCUGAAAGCAUCUAAGCACGAAACUUGCCCCGAGAUGAGUUCUCCCUGAGACUUUAAGUCUCCUGAAGGAACGUUGAAGACGACGACGUUGAUAGGUCGGGUGUGUAAGCGCAGCGAUGCGUUGAGCUAACCGAUACUAAUGAACCGUGAGGCUUAACCUUACAACGCCGAAG
Molecule: ribosomal RNA, 2926 nt
Filed under: Enterobacter cloacae
Lineage: Bacteria; Pseudomonadati; Pseudomonadota; Gammaproteobacteria; Enterobacterales; Enterobacteriaceae
Description: 23S ribosomal RNA
Rfam family: Bacterial large subunit ribosomal RNA
Source: RNAcentral